Molecule: ribosomal RNA, 681 nt
Filed under: uncultured bacterium
Lineage: Bacteria
Description: bacterial SSU rRNA
Rfam family: Bacterial small subunit ribosomal RNA
Source: RNAcentral
GGGCGCGUACGAGUCUACUGCCGUUGGGGCCUUUGAGGCUUUAGUGGCGCGGCUAACGCGAUAACCCGUUCGCCUGGGGAGUACGGUCGCAAGACUAAAACUCAAAUGAAUUGACGGGGGCCCGCACAAGCGGUGGAGCAUGUGGUUUAAUUCGAUGCAACGCGAAGAACCUUACCUGGUCUUGACAUACAGAGAACUUUCCAGAGAUGAAUUGGUGCCUUCGGGAACUCUGAUACAGGUGCUGCAUGGCUGUCGUCAGCUCGUGUCGUGAGAUGUUCGGUUAAGUCCGCUAACGAGCGCAACCCUCGCUGUGUGUUACAAGUGUCACACGGUACUGCCGAUAUUAAGUCGGAGGAAGGUGGGGAUGACGUCAAGUCAGCAUGACCUUUAUAUCCAGGGCUACACACACGCUACAAUGGCCAGUACAAUGGGUUGCCAAGCCGCGAGGCGGAGCCAAUCCUAAAAAGCUGGCCUCAGUUCAGAUUGCAGUCUGCAACUCGACUGCAUGAAGUUGGAGUUGCUAGUAACCGCAGGUCAGCAAUACUGCGGUGAAUACGUUCCCGGGGAUUGUACACACCGCCCGUCAAGUCAUGGAAGCUGGCAACACCUGAAGCCGGUAUCCUAACCCGAAAGGGAGGGAGCUGUCGAAGGUGGGGUCGGUGACUGGGACUAAGUCGUAAC